UCCAAGGCAGGGGGAGAGGCUGGCUUUGUCUGCAUCUUUGUCCCUUUCUUCCCUAAGCUUUUAUUCAAGUGAAACUGAAUCAGCUCUGAUUGUAAGCACCCCUCCUUCCAGAAACCAGGUCCGCAGCCGACUGUGCCCUUAGAGCUCUUUUUACUUCCACUCGUCGCCGCAGAGGCUUCCCCUCCUCUCGUGUUUUUGCUUCUCAAUUUGGGGGAUUUGGAUGCGCAGGGCUGGUCCGACACGACUCGGUUCGGAUCGGCUUUAGAGGGGGAGGAGGCAUCAGGGCCGAGUCGUGGGGAGUCAUCAGAUGUCUGGAUGCCGCUUCUGUCUGCCGCCGCCCGGCUCAACGUGGGGCUUUCAGCACCAGCAACCUGGACAGCGGCCGCGCCUUUGCAUGCAGGAGCGCCCCCGGCCUGCCGAUCCCGGCCGGUGGAUACAGGAGAAUGACCUCGGCUGCUUCUCCCCACUCCUCCUCCUGAUGCUUGCUUAGAGGCGACAGGCUUUGACGGGCUGCUCCCUUUCUGUGUCACUUUGGAUCCGCCGUCUUUGAGGCCGGCCGGGGAGGAGGAGCGCGGCUGCUUCCGGCUGCUAUUGUCGGCGGAGGAUGAUGGCUGCAUCAUGGUGUCAGAUGAUCAGCUCAUCCUCGACAACAUCAUCCCCUCCCUGUAGCUGCAACAUAACAUCACACUGAAUACAUAGUCGGAUGCUGAAGGGUAGUGGUGAUGAAGGCAGAAGGGAUGCCGACUCCACAGCCUCCCAUCCACCAGCCACUUCAUUUGCAUAUUCAUGACAUUACAUCAUCGCUAGAAGGGCUGCUGUCAUUGGUGGACCGAAACGAUACAGGAAACACACGACUCAGCAAUGCUCCUCCUCUCAACUGUCCAAUCGAUUUCUGCCCAAUAUUAUUAGGUGUCAUUGUGAUUCUUUCAGUGUUGACAAUGGGAACAUUUUCUUAUUCCUAUAUAAAUAACAAAUCUGCAGGAACAAAAAUGUUAAAUUCACCCAAACAGGCUUAACUGUGAGAAAGAGCCAUUUCAAAAACAGCUUUGUGUACAUAUUGUAAUAUAUCCAGUAGUAUUGUCCUGCAAAAUGAUUACCAAGAUGCAGCACCCAUUCAAUUCUCCAAUUCUUUCUGUAAUUCUCAUUUCUUUUAUCCCUACUAAUCCCCACAACCCGCACAUUGUCACAGUAAUAUAGGAUUCCUCACACAUAGUCAUUCAUCAGGAAUAAGUCAUUUCCAGGCAGGGUUUGAAAACUAUCAAUACAACAGAACGUAGGGCAGGGGUCUCCAACCAGUAGCCGGAGAGCUACCAGUAUCCCCAGCUAAUUUUGAGUAGAUCACUAUUCGCAUUUUUACUGUUCAAUUCAGACAUUAUGACUCUAUUCAAUGACAAAUUACGGUACUAAAAAAUAGCAAAAGAUUCAUGACGUGUGGUGAGAUUCAGGGCUUGUGAGGCACUGACUGAUUUGGAUUUUUUUUUAUGUUAAUACUUGAUCAUUAAGAGGAUAACAAGAAAAAGAAGAGAAUAAUUAACUUUCCUUAAAUAUUUUGUUUUCAAAUACUUUCUAGUUCCAAUUAUUUAUUUAUUUUUAAUAGACUAAAAAAUAUCUGUGGUCUUACCUUUUAUUUGUAUUUGAAGUACAUGUAAGCACCGAUACUUCCGAUCACCUUCUGUUGAGCAUGGAUACGUCAUCCGCCAUCUUGGGAGUCAAAUGAAUUAAUUACUGUAAUUCAGCACAUUACAAAACGUGAGUUGGGGAUAGCAACAUUUUGUUCUGGCAAAACAAGGUUGUUCAGUUUACAGUAAAUAGGUUACAAUAAUGAGUAGCUCUUAGCCACUUUUAUUUUUUAAACAUAGCUAUCAGAGGAUGGGCCGCACGGUGGUCUCCCCUGGGGUAUUUCUGUGUGGAGUUUGCAUGUUCUCCCCGUGCGUGGGUUUUAAUUGGAGACUCUAAAUUGUCCGUAGGUAUGAAUGUGAGUGUGAAUGGUUGUUUGUCUAUAUGUGCCCUGCGAUUGGCUGGCGACCAGUCCAGGGUGUACCCCGCCUCUCGCCCGAAGGCAGCUGAGAUAGGCUCCAGCAUACCUUCGCGACCCUAAUGAGGAGAAGCGGUUUUGAAAGCGGUAUAGAAAAUGGAUGGAACACAGAAGUUUGGAGACCCCUGCCAUAGGGAACAUCAUCGGCAUCAGUUAAUGCCCCAGGCAAGGUGUUGAGAGUUGGCUGCUGUUAUGAAGCAUAAUCAACUUUUAAAACAUCAUACUAAUACUUUUUGAAAUGAAUCUCAAACCUCAGCCUGGUUUAACAGUGAGCUUUUUGUGAAAUUGUGAAUGAAUAAAUGUUGAAUAAAUACA
Molecule: long non-coding RNA, 2350 nt
Organism: Dunckerocampus dactyliophorus (ringed pipefish)
Lineage: Eukaryota; Metazoa; Chordata; Actinopteri; Syngnathiformes; Syngnathidae
Exons: 3
Source: RefSeq, a predicted model, not a curated record